This 581-nucleotide ribosomal RNA is filed under the name Bacillus sp. CH87. RNAcentral's name for it is "bacterial SSU rRNA". It matches the Rfam family "Bacterial small subunit ribosomal RNA", at positions 75 to 641 of the family's 1533-position model. The record is from RNAcentral. Lineage: Bacteria; Bacillati; Bacillota; Bacilli; Caryophanales; Bacillaceae.
GGAGCUUGCUCCAGCGAGUCAGCGGCGGACGGGUGAGUAACACGUGGGCAACCUGCCUGUAAGACUGGGAUAACUCCGGGAAACCGGAGCUAAUACCGGAUAGUAUCUUGAACCGCAUGGUUCAAGUUGGAAAGACGGUUUCGGCUGUCACUUACAGAUGGGCCCGCGGCGCAUUAGCUAGUUGGUGAGGUAAUGGCUCACCAAGGCAACGAUGCGUAGCCGACCUGAGAGGGUGAUCGGCCACACUGGGACUGAGACACGGCCCAGACUCCUACGGGAGGCAGCAGUAGGGAAUCUUCCGCAAUGGACGAAAGUCUGACGGAGCAACGCCGCGUGAGUGAUGAAGGUUUUCGGAUCGUAAAACUCUGUUGUUAGGGAAGAACAAGUGCGAGAGUAACUGCUCGCACCUUGACGGUACCUAACCAGAAAGCCACGGCUAACUACGUGCCAGCAGCCGCGGUAAUACGUAGGUGGCAAGCGUUGUCCGGAAUUAUUGGGCGUAAAGCGCGCGCAGGCGGUUUCUUAAGUCUGAUGUGAAAGCCCCCGGCUCAACCGGGGAGGGUCAUUGGAAACUGGGGAAC